UGUCCUCUCCUCUCCUCUCUCUGAUAUCUCACCUCUCUCUUUUUCUUUCUCUUCCUCUCUCUCACUCUCUUUCUCUUCCUCUCUCUAUUUAUCUCCUCGAUCUGCGCCUGGCCGAGGAGCCGGCCCCGGGAGCAAGCAGCGGGCGCUGUGGUAGAACAGCCGACGCUGGGGCCGGGACGAGAAGGAGGUGGCGGGAGCGAACAGCGGUGGCGGAUGGGAGCGAGCAAUGGCCAGACGGAGCGGAUCCGGCGCAGGGUGACCUCCAUCCCGCGGAUCUGACAGCGGCGGCGGGAGCAAGCGGCGGUCAAUGGGAGCGAGCUGCCAGUGCCGAGAGCGAGCAGUGGCGGCUCAUGGGCGAUGAUGACGACGAUGACACCGACCCCGACAACAACGACGUGGGUGGCAGGGGCGGCGGCACCCCCGACAACG
This 429-nucleotide long non-coding RNA is filed under the name Oryza brachyantha (malo sina). Its description in RNAcentral is "long non-coding RNA (OBRA_LNC002844)". Lineage: Eukaryota; Viridiplantae; Streptophyta; Magnoliopsida; Poales; Poaceae. The record is from RNAcentral.